UCCGGAGGGGGCUAUCGUUGUUCGGAAUUACUGGGCGUAAAGCGCACGUAGGCGGAUUGUUAAGUCGGGGGUGAAAUCCCGGGGCUCAACCCCGGAACUGCCUUCGAUACUGGCAAUCUAGAGUUCUGGAGAGGUGAGUGGAAUUCCGAGUGUAGAGGUGAAAUUCGUAGAUAUUCGGAGGAACACCAGUGGCGAAGGCGGCUCACUGGCCAGACACUGACGCUGAGGUGCGAAAGCGUGGGGAGCAAACAGG
This 253-nucleotide ribosomal RNA is filed under the name uncultured bacterium. Its description in RNAcentral is "partial 16S ribosomal RNA". It matches the Rfam family "Bacterial small subunit ribosomal RNA", at positions 524 to 776 of the family's 1533-position model. The record is from RNAcentral.